RNAcentral lists this ribosomal RNA (23 nucleotides) under Auricularia fuscosuccinea. RNAcentral describes it as "partial 25S ribosomal RNA". Lineage: Eukaryota; Fungi; Basidiomycota; Agaricomycetes; Auriculariales; Auriculariaceae. The record is from RNAcentral.
UUGGCCUCWAAUCAGGUAGGACU